UAAUCAAUAAGCGGAGGAAAAGAAACCAACAGGGAUUGCCUUAGUAACGGCGAGUGAAGCGGCAAAAGCUCAAAUUUGAAAUCUGGCACCUUCGGUGUCCGAGUUGUAAUUUGAAGAAGGUAACUUUGGAGUUGGCUCUUGUCUAUGUUCCUUGGAACAGGACGUCACAGAGGGUGAGAAUCCCGUGCGAUGAGAUGCCCAAUUCUAUGUAAAGUGCUUUCGAAGAGUCGAGUUGUUUGGGAAUGCAGCUCUAAGUGGGUGGUAAAUUCCAUCUAAAGCUAAAUAUUGGCGAGAGACCGAUAGCGAACAAGUACAGUGAUGGAAAGAUGAAAAGAACUUUGAAAAGAGAGUGAAAAAGUACGUGAAAUUGUUGAAAGGGAAGGGCUUGAGAUCAGACUUGGUAUUUUGCGAUCCUUUCCUUCUUGGUUGGGUUCCUCGCAGCUUACUGGGCCAGCAUCGGUUUGGAUGGUAGGAUAAUGACUAAGGAAUGUGGCUCUACUUCGGUGGAGUGUUAUAGCCUUGGUUGAUACUGCCUGUCUAGACCGAGGACUGCGUCUUUGACUAGGAUGCUGGCAUAAUGACUUAAGCCACC
RNAcentral lists this ribosomal RNA (592 nucleotides) under Debaryomyces fabryi. RNAcentral describes it as "LSU rRNA". It matches the Rfam family "Eukaryotic large subunit ribosomal RNA", at positions 40 to 649 of the family's 3401-position model. The record is from RNAcentral. Lineage: Eukaryota; Fungi; Ascomycota; Pichiomycetes; Serinales; Debaryomycetaceae.